UAUGUCCAUAUCACGUCGAAACACCGGUUCCCGUACGAUCACCGAAGUUAAGCAACGUCGAGUCUAGUCAGUACCUAGAUGGAUGACCACUUGGUAAUUCUAGGUACUGUGA
Non-coding RNA from Acanthosepion pharaonis, 112 nucleotides. Lineage: Eukaryota; Metazoa; Mollusca; Cephalopoda; Sepiida; Sepiidae. The record is from the annotation of a GenBank genome assembly.